GGGGCUGUGGCUCAGUGGUAAAACAUUUCUUUGGCAUGCAGAAGGUUCUGGGUUCAAUCCUUGGCAUCUCCA
This 72-nucleotide transfer RNA is filed under the name Sphaerodactylus townsendi. RNAcentral's name for it is "tRNA-Ala". Lineage: Eukaryota; Metazoa; Chordata; Lepidosauria; Squamata; Sphaerodactylidae. The record is from RNAcentral.